GAUAUAACAAUAGAUUUGCAGUUGUUCAUAAAAGUUCAAUAAAGGAGGAUACAAAUGUUCUUCUCUUUCAUUAUUGUCUUCUCUAUGAUACUUGGACUAAGUAAUGGACUAUACCCAAAUAUUGAAAGCUGCGACUGCAAAUACCAGUA
Eurytemora carolleeae is the source of this 149-nucleotide long non-coding RNA. RefSeq lists it as uncharacterized. NCBI's taxonomy places the organism in Eukaryota, Metazoa, Arthropoda, Copepoda, Calanoida, Temoridae. The record is from RefSeq and is a predicted model, not a curated record. The transcript is spliced from 2 exons.